This 1224-nucleotide long non-coding RNA is filed under the name Sus scrofa (pig). Its description in RNAcentral is "lncRNA (ENSSSCG00060050344.1)". The record is from RNAcentral. Lineage: Eukaryota; Metazoa; Chordata; Mammalia; Artiodactyla; Suidae.
GACAUUCUGGGCUGGUGGUGCCACUCCGCGGAUUGGACAGCCCUAGCACCAACCCCGGCAAAUUCUUCCUGGUAAACCGCGAGAGCUUGGGUCGGACCCGCCCACGUCACCACCAACCCCCGCCCACCUUCUAGGUCCUGCCUUGGGCGCAGCUGGGCGCUGUCGGUCUUUGCAACCUUGUCGUCGUUUGGCGCUGAUUGAACCUCACCGCCACGAACCGAACCGCCACGGGUCACCACGCCCUGGAGAGGCCGAACCGCCACGGGUCACCACGCCCUGGAGAGGCCGAAAAGCCUUACUUUUAGGACAGGGAAGCUGAGACAAAGUGGGGCGAUCAAAGAACUGGAAUUUGAACUGCGUCUGAGUGACUCGGAAGCCCCGGACGAGUGGCGCCCCCGAGCCGGCAAAACUCCACCUCGAUGGGCGUCCGAGUUGAUGCAAGCGGCCUUUCGUCGAAGGACCGGUUCCGGUUGCACCGCGCUUCCCUUCUCCCGCCCGGGUCACUACUCAGGGCGGUGGGAGCCGGUGCAGGCAACGCGCUUUGAUCGCGGAGCGCACCCUGCCGGAGGGCUGCAAUCUUGCUCGCUCGCUUCCCUCCCCAUCCCCCAGUCUGUCUGGGACCACUCCACUUCUUCUCGGUAGGCAAGUGGAGUUCCCUCUGUACCUUAAAGAACAACAAAACCCCUGUGCCCAUCGCUUUCUUUCCGUUUGAAAAUGUCUCCCCUUGUCCAGGAACCCCACUGUCUCCCCCGCAGUUUACGAGCGGGUUCUCCAAGCUCGGUCUUUGCCCUGCCUACAUGCUACUCCGCCACCGGCACUCUUGCUCCACUGUUCUAGCAAAAGACGCCGGGAGGAAAGCGGGUUGAAGCGGGUUGAAUCCCGGUAGCAGACCUAUACAGCUACUUAAUGCCUCUGAGUAUGGAGGGGUCUGAUGAAUUUCAAAUGAAAUUAGCACUCGCCGAACCCUUUUCAAACCCCGUGUUUGGUGCUGGGAAGCUUCCUGUGGUUCAUCUCAACUGUAUUGUAUUUCACAACGCCCCAGCUUAAGUCGCAAACAGAACAUUGGCAUUCAAAAUGAUUGCGAAAGAGGAGUUCCCGUCGUGGCUCAGUGGUUAACAAAUCCGACAAGGAACCAUGAGGUUGCGGGAUCGAUCCUGGCCCCGUUUAGCCGGUUAAGGAUCCGGCGCUCGGUGAGCUGUGGUGUAGGAUCACAGAUGCGGCCGG